This 881-nucleotide long non-coding RNA is filed under the name Coturnix japonica (Japanese quail). RNAcentral's name for it is "lncRNA (ENSCJPG00005014350.1)". Lineage: Eukaryota; Metazoa; Chordata; Aves; Galliformes; Phasianidae. The record is from RNAcentral.
GUACAGCGAUGUAGGAUCCAAUUUCUGCCAGACAUAAAAUGUGGCCAUUCAGCCCCCUUCAAACUGCCUGUGUGAAGAGAAUGGAAACAGCUCUGGAAAGCUCCCACCUCUCCCUAUAAACUGAACAAUUUCUGAGCAAACCUGUGAAAUUUUUUGUUUUCUUUUGACAAAGAAAAGUCAGUGUUGUUCUUGGAGCUGUCUCACAUAUUUUGACAUGGAGCUGCAGUAGACUUUUAUCUUUAAAAUUUCAUUUUCAAUUGAAAAUCCCUGCAGUUUGAGAGGAAGUUGGAAGUUUCUGCUUAUAUUUUUGAAGAAACAAGUAAUGAUUUUCUCGCUGGAUGCAAGCAAAGAUGAACGUAACCUUUCGAUUCACACUGCAGUUAGAGAAAGCCAUUCCAGAUUUCCCUCCAGCAUUCUGCCAUAUCUGAGAUGUGUGCAUCGGCUUUAUGAAGGAAGCUGGAGGCAGUUCUCAUUAGUCUCACUGACAUCUUUUAUCACUUAUCAGAGGAACAAGCAAACGGAGAGCAAUUCCUUUGAUCAUGGCAAAAGUAGAAAGAGUAUUAAAAACCCUAUGAAGAUUCACUAAGUAGAAAGUGGAAAAGACAGUCUGUGGCAUGUUUCAAAGAAGUAACAUGAUUUAAAGUUGCCAGAUUUGCUUGUAUAUAUUAAAGAAUUGUUAAUGAUGCUACAUUUUACAUGCAUCCCAGGGUGGGUUUUUUUGUUGUUGUUGUUUUUGUUUGAAGAAGAGGCGAAGGAGUUCUGAAGUAGAAUGGAUGGAUUAGAGCAAUUGGAAAAUAUCUCUAAAGGGUGAACUGUGUCAGAAAGGAAUCCAGAGAUUCAAUGAAAAUUGUUGAAAAUAAAAAUAAGGUUGUACGGUGCCA